Molecule: long non-coding RNA, 762 nt
Organism: Mauremys mutica (yellowpond turtle)
Lineage: Eukaryota; Metazoa; Chordata; Testudines; Geoemydidae
Exons: 3
Source: RefSeq, a predicted model, not a curated record
AGGAGCUCUGGGAUCCAGAAAUUUUGUUUCAAGCUCAUCACUACUCUUGACAACCGUGGUCUGAGUUUUGAAGUUACAAGAAAAGAUGAAACCAGACAUACUUCCCAAAAGGUGUGAGUGCCAGCACAAGCCAUUGAUUGUAAUACAGAGCCUGCUGCAACGCUAGCUCUUUGCACUGAGAGCCAGCUGGGUAAGCAUUUCCAGUCAUUCCUGUGUUCCAGUGUGUACUCUGAGAAGGGUCUCCAUGCUGAAUACAGUGCAGCUAAGGCACUUGCGCUGCAGAAAGAAGAUGCAUUGGAAGGACAAAAUAUGUAAACAAGACGACACAUACUCACAUACAAAAUUCAGAUACUUCCAUUUAGAAUCUACAACUGUAGCCACCAAAUCUAAAGACUUCUCAUAUACUACCACAUGGCAUUUCAUGCCAGAGUUUAAAACGAUUCCUCUUCAGUUUACAAAAAACUGCUGUAAACUGGGGGGAAACAGCCCUCUAAGAUAUUGUAACAUAAUGCAGACAGACAAACUACUGAAUUCUGCCAAAACCACUUUUGGUUAUGUAGAAAUGAAUUUAAUUGUUUUAAAUUUACAUAACAGAUUUAUGAAGGAAACUAAACUUUAUUAAAGCAUUUUUUUUAAAAAAAGCUACAACAAUGAGAUCUUGGAAAAACCCAUCUGGAAGGAUGUUUUCUCUUCAUUUGUUUUUUUAUGUAAAACUUUCCAAUCUCUUUUGCUGCUGCUGUUCUUUGUGACUUUUAAUGCUUG